UACGGAAGGCAGCAGUGGGGAAUAUUGCACAAUGGGCGCAAGCCUGAUGCAGCCAUGCCGCGUGUAUGAAGAAGGCCUUCGGGUUGUAAAGUACUUUCAGUCGUGAGGAAGGUGUUAAGGUUAAUAACCUUAGCAAUUGACGUUAGCGACAGAAGAAGCACCGGCUAACUCCGUGCCAGCAGCCGCGGUAAUACGGAGGGUGCGAGCGUUAAUCGGAAUUACUGGGCGUAAAGGGCACGCAGGCGGUUAAUUAAGUUGGAUGUGAAAUCCCCGGGCUUAACCUGGGAAUGGCAUUCAAGACUGGUUAGCUAGAGUCUUGUAGAGGGGGUAGAAUUCCAUGUGUAGCGGUGAAAUGCGUAGAGAUGUGGAGGAAUACCGGGUGGCGAAGGCGGCCCCUGGCAAAGACUGACGCUCAUGUGCGAAAGCGUGGGGAGCAAACAGGAUUAGAUACC
This 452-nucleotide ribosomal RNA is filed under the name uncultured bacterium. Its description in RNAcentral is "bacterial SSU rRNA". It matches the Rfam family "Bacterial small subunit ribosomal RNA", at positions 340 to 786 of the family's 1533-position model. The record is from RNAcentral.